RNAcentral lists this ribosomal RNA (465 nucleotides) under uncultured bacterium. RNAcentral's name for it is "SSU rRNA". It matches the Rfam family "Bacterial small subunit ribosomal RNA", at positions 26 to 518 of the family's 1533-position model. The record is from RNAcentral.
AGGAUUAACGCUGGCGGCGUGCCUAACACAUGCAAGUCGAACGAGGUAGCAAUACCUAGUGGCAGACGGGUGAGUAACGCGUGGUCAACCUACCGUUGAGUGGGGGAUAACUAGCCGAAAGGUUAGCUAAUACCGCAUACGUCUCCGAGGGGCAUCCCUUGGCGAUAAAAGGAGCAAUCCGCUCGAUGACGGGACCGCGUCCCAUUAGCUAGAUGGUGGGGUAACGGCCUACCAUGGCACCGAUGGGUAGCUGGUUUGAGAGAGCGACCAGCCACACUGGGACUGAGAAACGGCCCAGACUCCUACGGGAGGCAGCAGUGAGGAAUUUUCCGCAAUGGGCGCAAGCCUGACGGAGCGACGCCGCGUGUGGGAAGAAGGCCUUCGGGUCGUAAACCGACUGUCGAAGGGGACGAUAAUGACGGUACCCUUGGAGGAAGCCCCGGCUAACUACGUGCCAGCAGCCGC